RNAcentral lists this long non-coding RNA (1658 nucleotides) under Gossypium barbadense (sea-island cotton). RNAcentral describes it as "long non-coding RNA (GBAR_LNC012782)". The record is from RNAcentral. Lineage: Eukaryota; Viridiplantae; Streptophyta; Magnoliopsida; Malvales; Malvaceae.
AAAUAGAAACAGAAUGAAACGAAACAGAGAGCAGGGGAGAAAAAGAAAGAAAGAAAGGGAGAAAAGAGAAAAUUGAAGGUUUGAAGCUUUAAGCUUUAAUAGUCAAUGUGGUACCGGAAAUCUCGGCUAAGAAAGGACAGGAUAAAGUCAACGGGAGUUAGCUCGAAAAUUACGGUUUGUAUUUCUAUAAUCCGAACUUAGUUAUUAUUUGUUAGAUUUAUAUACAUAUGGCAAUUGUUAGUGUUAGAAUUAUGAUGUUUUACAAUUGGAAUGGAUUGAUUUUGGUAUGCGAUGAAUUUAUUAAAUUUAUAUUGAUUGAAAUUAUUUUGAUUGAAAUUAUUUUGAUUGAAUUAUAUAAUAUAUAUGAUUUAUGUAGAAAUUUGAAUAUUGAAUGAAUAUUAUAUUGAAAAAUAUAUUGAUUGAAAAUAUGAGGAGAUUGAUAUGAAUAUAUGAGAUUGUGAUAUUUGAAUAUUUGAUAUUGAAAAGUGAAUUGAAUUGUAUUGAAUUAUGAAUUAAUGUGAAUAAUUGAAAUAUAUUGUUGAAUUGAAUGAAAUUGUAUGAAUUGUGAAAAUGGGUGAAUAUAUGUGAUUAUCAGAAUGGUAUAUUGAUGAAAGAAUUAUUAAAUUGAGAAAGUGAAUAAAAUACCCUAUUAACUAGUCGGGCUGAGUCGGAUAUAAUUGGCAUGCCAUAGGAUCUGGAAGUGUACGGGAUUUGCCGGCUUUAUUGAUCAGGCACUUUAUGUGUCGUAUUUCAGGCACCUCGUGUGUCGUAUCAGGCACCUCGUGUGUUGUAUCAAGCACCUCGUGUGUCAUUUUAGGCACUUUAUGUGUCGUAUACUGAUCAGGUACUAUGUACCGUUUUAGGCACAAUGUGCUGUACUGGUGUGUUUGGGUUGGAAUCCGUGUAUCCGUCAAAGUCUGGGUUUGUUAAUAGGGGUAAAUAAGUGAAAGAUAAAUCGAAUAAAUUUGAUUGAUCAAGCUAUUAAAAUGAAACGAAAAAUUGAAUUGAGAAUUGAAAAUUGAAAAUUUAGAUAUGCAAUUAAAAAUAUGAACCAAAGGUUCAUGAAAUGAUUGGAGUUCGAAUUGAUGAUAUAUGAUGCCACUUGAUGAAUUGAAAUGUGAUUUGAGAUAUAUGAAUCGUAUGUAUAUACUGAAAGCUAUCAGGGAUAGUAAGUUGAUAUGAUAUAAAUGAAAUUGACUGUUAUUGAAAUGAAUUAAAAUGGAAUAUGAUUGAUAAGUGUAUAGUUGAAUAUAGUUUAAUGAUAUUGAAUUGUGAGUAAAUUAAGGAAAUCUAUACCGAGUAGUAAGUGAAAGAAUGGAGUAAUAAUAAUGGAUUUAGUUAAGAAUUUAACAAUUAUGUUAUUGUGUUUAUUAUAUGAUUUGUAUAAAAUUUAUAUGGUAAGUAGUUGAAAUUUAUCUAUGAAUAAAUAAUUGAAUAAUUGUAAUUGUUAUUAUGAUCUUAAGUAUUUGUUAUAUUAUUAAUUGUUCAGAUUAUAGAAAUACCACUGAUUAUACCAUACUCAGCGUACGGUUUGUUUCCGUGCGCAGGUUAAGUAAAGAUAGUACGUUGAAUCAGCAUCCCAAGAUGAUCCCGAAUUCAUUAAGGUAAAGUAUGUUGAGUAUUGAUAAUGGCAUGUACCCAGGAUGUUUAAUGAGAGU